RNAcentral lists this ribosomal RNA (252 nucleotides) under uncultured prokaryote. Its description in RNAcentral is "partial 16S rRNA". It matches the Rfam family "Archaeal small subunit ribosomal RNA", at positions 475 to 726 of the family's 1478-position model. The record is from RNAcentral.
ACCGGCAGCUCAAGUGGUGGCCAUUUUUAUUGGGCCUAAAGCGUUCGUAGCCGGUUUGAUAAGUGACGGGGGAAAAGAGGGAGAAGAACUGUGGGACUUGCUGGAGAUACUAUUAGACUUGAGGUCGGGAGAGGUUAGGGGUACUCCCAGGGUAGGGGUGAAAUCCUAUAAUCCUGGGAGGACCACCUGUGGCGAAGGCGCCUAACUGGAACGCACCUGACGGUGAGUAACGAAAGCCAGGGGCGCGAACCG